UAAAUACUCCCUCCGUCCGGAAAUACUUAUCCUAGAAAUGAAUAUAAUGGAUGUAUCUAUAAUUCAUUUCUAGGACAAGUAUUUCCGGACGAAGGGAGUAGAAA
Hordeum vulgare subsp. vulgare (domesticated barley) is the source of this 104-nucleotide non-coding RNA. NCBI's taxonomy places the organism in Eukaryota, Viridiplantae, Streptophyta, Magnoliopsida, Poales, Poaceae. The record is from Rfam.